CAGUUCAGUGAAUAAGUCUGUGUUGCUCGCCUCUGUUCCCAGAUUGCUACCUGAGUUGCUUCAACACAUUCCUUUCCCACUCACUUGUCUCCAGCCCACAUUUCGGGGUUCCCCUCCUCCAGGCAGGCAGCCCAGGGCCUGCUGCAAGGGGAGGUGGCCCCUCUCCGUUCUUUGUGAGGGCUGGAUGCCUGUGCCUCUCGCAGCCUGGAUGGGCACCCUGCCCUGUAUACUCCUUGGGGACAGCCUCCCUCUGCCAGUUGUCACACAGCAGACAGCCCAACAGGCUUCCUCUCAUGUAACAACAUGUAAUAUCAUGUAGCAUCAGCAUGUAGCCGUGCACAUAAUACUAUGUAACAUCAGCCUGUAACAGUGCAUGUAAGAUGAUGUAACAUUAUGUAACAUCAGCAUGGAACAUUGUAUGUAAUGUUGCAUAUAACUGCAUGUACCAUCACAUAUAACAGCAUGUGACAUUAUAUAUAACAGCAUGUAACAUCAGCCUUCUCCCCAUAUUUCUUAACAGCCACCAUUCCAGUGUUUCCCCAGUUCUGUCCGUACAUGACUAGCCAGUUCCUGCCAUUCAUUUGCAGCCUACACAGUCCUAAUGCUACUGAAAUCAUUCUCUUCCAGCCCUGCAACAGGACAGAGGAGAUGUUCAUAAGAAAUGCUUGCAUAGCAGCAUCCCAGCAUCCCCAUGAAGCCCUUCCUUUUCUGAGCCAAAGUCUCAGAAGUCAUGUUCCUCCCGGAGAGACACCCGCCAUUGAGUUCCCAGUCUUGCCUCGUGUGUGUCCACUUCUGGUCCUCACACAUAUUCCUUCCUCCACCACGAUCUGGGAGACCACAGGGCAUCGCAGUUCCUUGCACAGCCGUAGAGGCAGGCAAUCUGGGUCUGAAUCCUGGACUUUUGCGGUUAGAGCUAAGCGACUUGGGGCAAACCUCUCUAAGCAUCCCAUUCUUAUCUGUAAAGUAGGGAUAAGAGUCAUGCCUUAUGAUUCAAAAUACAUGAUUUUUUGGAGACUGGGUGCGGCGGCUCAUGCCUGUAAUCCCAACACUUUGGGAGACCGAGGCAGGCAGAUCACCUGAGGUCAGGAGUUCAAGACCAGCCUGGCCAACAUAGUGAAACCCUGUCUCUACUAAAAAUACAAAAAUUGGUUGGGCGCAGUGGCUCAUGCCUGUAAUCCCAGCACUUUGGGAGGCUGAGGCGGGCAGAUUACAAGGUCAGGAGUUUGAGACCAGCCUGACCAAUAUGGUGAAACCCCGUCUCUAAUAAAAAUACAAAAAUUAGCCAGGUGUGGUAGUGGGCACCUGUAGUCUCAACUACUCAGGAGGCUGAGGCAGGAGAAUUGCUGAACCCAGGAGGUGGAGGUUGCAGUGAGCCAAGAUAGCUCCACUGCACUCCAGCCUGGGCUACAAAGCAAGGCUCUCACACACACACACA
This 1435-nucleotide long non-coding RNA is filed under the name Macaca fascicularis (crab-eating macaque). Its description in RNAcentral is "lncRNA (ENSMFAG00000049356.1)". The record is from RNAcentral. Lineage: Eukaryota; Metazoa; Chordata; Mammalia; Primates; Cercopithecidae.